Long non-coding RNA from Oreochromis aureus, 871 nucleotides. The record is from Ensembl. NCBI's taxonomy places the organism in Eukaryota, Metazoa, Chordata, Actinopteri, Cichliformes, Cichlidae.
GUUUCGGACAGGUAAUGGCGGACAUGCGAUAGUUCGGGCUGACUUAUAUUCCAACAUAGGAAGUGUUAUAAACAGCUGAUCGGAUCGGCAAAGCCUGUUUCUGGAAUAUUGUGUUUUUGUUGCUGCAAGUCUGGAAUAUUAUGUUUUUGUUGCUGGAAGUGCUUUUUAUGCAAUUUUUUGCAAAGCUAUAUGUGGAAGAAAACCGUGACCUAGGGCAAGCUAAUGGAAUAAGAUAUGGCAGGAGUGACGCCCACUGUGGUCUUCUGCUGCUGCUUCAUCCGUUUUAAGGUUCAACUUGACACCCACGUGUGCUCUUCUGCAAACCUUGGCUGUAUCAGGAAGGAAGGAAGGAGGAAGAGGGAGUGCAAUAAACUGCAUCUGCUGCUACAGGCCCUGGACAAGCAAAGCAAGAGAGAGAGGGGGAGAGAGACAUGUAGUGUGAAGCACUGACCUGCAUAGUUUGGCCUCAGCUCAAGUUUAAACUACUUGCACACAGUAAUGGAAAUUUUGCCUAGAAGCUGGGCAUCCAAAUUCGUUUCUGUCCAGCAAUUAAACUGGUACAAAAGUCAUUUAUUGUUGCUAAAUGUCAAGUUCAUUUGGAGUUAAUAUUAAAAUCUUUGUCUUUUUAAAAUUGAUUUGUAUUAAACAAAGUAACUUUGUGACUUUGCUCACAGGAGCAAUGUUUAUGCUUAAGUUUCCUUAACAAAUGGGGCCUAAGGGUAUUUCACUCCCCACUGAGCUGCAGCGUUAAUGUCAGUGUGUGCAUCUGGGUGUAUAAUUGAAAAAUAAAUACAUAUAAAUUAAGGAUGCCAAAGUAACAACAUGGUAAUGCGAUGUAAAUGGAAAGCGAAAUAAAAGGAGCAAAAGACUG